GCCUCGGUAGCUCAAUUGGAUAGAGCAUCGGACUUCGAAUCCGACGGUUACAGGUUCGAUUCCUGUCCGGGGCACCA
Molecule: transfer RNA, 77 nt
Filed under: Verrucomicrobiota bacterium
Lineage: Bacteria; Pseudomonadati; Verrucomicrobiota
Description: Verrucomicrobia bacterium (marine metagenome) tRNA-Arg
Rfam family: tRNA
About the family: Transfer RNA (tRNA) molecules are approximately 80 nucleotides in length.
Source: RNAcentral